UACGAAGGGGGCUAGCGUUGUUCGGAAUCACUGGGCGUAAAGGGCGCGUAGGCGGCCGAUCAAGUCGGGGGUGAAAGCCUGUGGCUCAACCACAGAAUUGCCUUCGAUACUGUUUGGCUUGAGACCGGAAGAGGUAAGUGGAACUGCGAGUGUAGAGGUGAAAUUCGUAGAUAUUCGCAAGAACACCAGUGGCGAAGGCGGCUUACUGGUCCGGUUCUGACGCUGAGGCGCGAAGGCGUGGGGAGCAAACAGG
RNAcentral lists this ribosomal RNA (253 nucleotides) under uncultured bacterium. RNAcentral describes it as "partial 16S ribosomal RNA". It matches the Rfam family "Bacterial small subunit ribosomal RNA", at positions 524 to 776 of the family's 1533-position model. The record is from RNAcentral.